Molecule: ribosomal RNA, 351 nt
Filed under: Acrapex subalbissima
Lineage: Eukaryota; Metazoa; Arthropoda; Insecta; Lepidoptera; Noctuidae
Description: partial 12S small subunit ribosomal RNA
Source: RNAcentral
AAAAUUUAAAAUUAAAAUACUAAAAUAGUAAUUAAUUAUUUAUUGAAACUUAAAUAAUUUGGCGGUAUUUUAGUUCAUUUAGAGGAAUCUGUUUAAUAAUUGAUAUUCCACGAAUAAAUUUACUUAAUUUAUAAUUUUGUAUAUCGUUGUUAUAAAAAUAUUUUUUAAUAAAAUUAAUAUUUAAAAAUUAUUAUAUAAAUUUAAAUCAGAUCAAGAUGCAGAUUAUAAUUAAGAAUAUAAUGGAUUACAAUAAAAUUAUUUAAAUGAAUAUUAAUUUGUAAAAAUUAAUUGAAAGUGGAUUUAAAUGUAAUUUUAUUUAAUUUAGUAAAAUGAUUAAAAAUUAAAAUAUGU